CGCGCCCUCAGGUGGGGUUUAGGUGAGAGGCUCCGACCAGAUUCCAGGUUCGGCCCGGAGCCUCCAGAGGGGACCUCAGCCCCCAUGGCAACCACAGCCUAGCCUGAUGGCCGGGAUCCUGCCCCGUCUCAGUGACCAGGCCAUGGACGCUGUGUUCCUGACAGCCCGGUGGAAGGUGAGCUGGUUUCCUCCUCCACUUCCUUGGGAGUCGCUGUCCUUUGAGGAUGUGGCUCUGUACUUCACCAGAGAGGAGUGGAGCAGACUUGACUGGGCUCAGAAGGAUCUCUACAGAGACGUCAUGCUGGAGAAUUACAGAAACAUGAUCGUCCUGGGAUUUCAGUUUCCCAAACCUGAGGUCAUCUGUCAGCUGGAGCAGUGGGAAGAGCCAUGGAUCCUGGAUCUACCAAGAGCUGGGACUAGGAAGGCUUCCAGUAGUGCCUGCCCAGGUUCCGAAACCAGAUUCAAGAUGAGAGAGCUAACUCCAAAGCAGAACAUUUCUGAAGACUUAGAGUCACAUAAGAUAUCAGUGGUAAAGCAGAAAAAGGCCAAGAAGCCUUCAGAAGAGUUGCAUGAAUGUAACACAUUUGUGGACAUUUAUGGACUUUCGCUCUCUCCUCUUGGUGACGAAUGCUAUAAAAACUACUUCCAGAACUUUCACCUUAUUCAAGAUCAGAAAGCUCAGACAAGGACGAAGCAGGGCAAAUAUGAGGGGUAUGAAAAACUUCUCAGCCAGAGACCACUGCUUUUGAGGCAUAAGCGAAUUCUUACAAAUGCAAAAUCCUAUGAAUGCAGCGAAUGUGGAAAGAUCUUCCGGCGUCAGGCAAAUUUCCUUCGACAUCAGAGAAUUCACAGUUCUGAGGCUCCCUUUGAGUGCGACAUAUGUGGGCAGGCCUUCAGACAGAAGUCCGCCCUGAUGGCCCACAAACAGUGUCACUCACAGAAAAAGCCAUAUAAAUGUCACGACUGUGGGAAAUGUUUCCGUCAGAUGGCGUAUCUUGUCGAGCAUAAGAGGAUCCACACCAAAGAAAAACCCUAUAAAUGCAGUGAGUGUGAAAGAACGUUCAGUCAGAAUUCCACCCUUAUUCGACAUCAGUUAAUUCACAGUGGAGAGAAACCGCAUAAAUGCCAUGAAUGUGGAAAAGCCUUUGGCCGGCAUUCAACCCUUCUGAGCCAUCAGCAAAUUCACACCAAACAGCACACCCAUAAAUGCAGUGAAUGCGGACAGUCCUUUGGUCGGGCUGUAGAUCUCAUUCAGCAUCAAAGAAUCCACACCAAGGAGGAGUUCUUUGAAUGCAGAGAAUGUGGGAAAACUUUCAGUUUUAAGGCAAAUCUUCAUCGCCACGAGGUCAUUCACACUGGAGAGAGACCCUACAGAUGUGACAGAUGUGGGAAAGCUUUCAGCUGGCGCACAAGCUUCAUUAAGCAUCAGGGUACUCACCGAGAGCAGCCGUCUACGUGAUGCUAUGGGAAAGGCGACCGUUUAAAGACCAGAACUUAACUCCUAUUGCGAGACCAUGAUUUCUUCUAUAAAAGAAAUAUAACUACAAAAACAUAUAAAAACAACAAAGUUCCACUGGGAAUGAGAAAAAAGCAAGUGGCACCCCAUGAAACAAGGGAACCUUGAGCCUUGCAGGAGGAAGACAGUAGGUGCUGGAUUAUACACGGGGCUCAAUAUGCCAGCACUUCCGUACUGGUCAGCAGGGCCCGGCUGGAAGGAGGGGCUGCCAAGUUGUAGUUCCCUCAGCAAAGUUAACAAGUGGAGACCUCUGACUAAGGAGGAAAUAGUAAGCCAGUGAGAGAGAAUUCUUGCUUACAGCAAACUUGGGAGCUGGGGACCCCUGAAAAGCAGAUCUGGGCAUGAGUACCCAGAAGUCUGGCUCAGGCUUUUAAAUCUACUCUGUGUAGAAAACGUACCUGUUUCCAG
Vicugna pacos (alpaca) is the source of this 1924-nucleotide non-coding RNA. The record is from RefSeq and is a predicted model, not a curated record. NCBI's taxonomy places the organism in Eukaryota, Metazoa, Chordata, Mammalia, Artiodactyla, Camelidae.